Molecule: ribosomal RNA, 3092 nt
Filed under: Salmonella enterica
Lineage: Bacteria; Pseudomonadati; Pseudomonadota; Gammaproteobacteria; Enterobacterales; Enterobacteriaceae
Also listed under: 1 other name
Description: 23S ribosomal RNA
Rfam family: Bacterial large subunit ribosomal RNA
Source: RNAcentral
GGUUAAGCGACUAAGCGUACACGGUGGAUGCCCUGGCAGUCAGAGGCGAUGAAGGGCGUGCUAAUCUGCGAUAAGCGCCGGUAAGGUGAUAUGAACCGUUAUAACCGGCGAUACCCGAAUGGGGAAACCCAGUGUGAUUCGUCACACUAUCAUUAACUGAAUCCAUAGGUUAAUGAGGCGAACCGGGGGAACUGAAACAUCUAAGUACCCCGAGGAAAAGAAAUCAACCGAGAUUCCCCCAGUAGCGGCGAGCGAACGGGGAGGAGCCCAGAGCCUGAAUCAGCAUGUGUGUUAGUGGAAGCGUCUGGAAAGGCGCGCGAUACAGGGUGACAGCCCCGUACACAAAAGCGCAUGUGCUGUGAGCUCGAUGAGUAGGGCGGGACACGUGGUAUCCUGUCUGAAUAUGGGGGGACCAUCCUCCAAGGCUAAAUACUCCUGACUGACCGAUAGUGAACCAGUACCGUGAGGGAAAGGCGAAAAGAACCCCGGCGAGGGGAGUGAAAAAGAACCUGAAACCGUGUACGUACAAGCAGUGGGAGCCCCACCACCAAAGCAUUCUCUGGUGUUGAAGGCCCUGCAAAGCAGCAUCGCGGUGGCGGAGCGUCGUUUGCGACGCCCAACACACAAAACAAGCGGUGAAUGCUUUGGGGUGGGGUGACUGCGUACCUUUUGUAUAAUGGGUCAGCGACUUAUAUUCUGUAGCAAGGUUAACCGAAUAGGGGAGCCGGAGGGAAACCGAGUCUUAAUUGGGCGUUAAGUUGCAGGGUAUAGACCCGAAACCCGGUGAUCUAGCCAUGGGCAGGUUGAAGGUUGGGUAACACUAACUGGAGGACCGAACCGACUAAUGUUGAAAAAUUAGCGGAUGACCUGUGGCUGGGGGUGAAAGGCCAAUCAAACCGGGAGAUAGCUGGUUCUCCCCGAAAGCUAUUUAGGUAGCGCCUCGUGAAUUCAUCUCCGGGGGUAGAGCACUGUUUCGGCUAGGGGGCCAUCCCGGCUUACCAACCCGAUGCAAACUGCGAAUACCGGAGAAUGUUAUCACGGGAGACACACGGCGGGUGCUAACGUCCGUCGUGAAGAGGGAAACAACCCAGACCGCCAGCUAAGGUCCCAAAGUCAUGGUUAAGUGGGAAACGAUGUGGGAAGGCCCAGACAGCCAGGAUGUUGGCUUAGAAGCAGCCAUCAUUUAAAGAAAGCGUAAUAGCUCACUGGUCGAGUCGGCCUGCGCGGAAGAUGUAACGGGGCUAAACCAUGCACCGAAGCUGCGGCAGCGAACGUAUCACCCAAGACAACUUUACGGAGUUGACGAUUGACGGAGCGAAGCGACGUCAAAGCGUUCAUUAAAGUCGAGUUGGCUUAGGGAUACGUUCGUUGGGUAGGGGAGCGUUCUGUAAGCCUGUGAAGGUGUGUCGUGAGGCAUGCUGGAGGUAUCAGAAGUGCGAAUGCUGACAUAAGUAACGAUAAAGCGGGUGAAAAGCCCGCUCGCCGGAAGACCAAGGGUUCCUGUCCAACGUUAAUCGGGGCAGGGUGAGUCGACCCCUAAGGCGAGGCCGAAAGGCGUAGUCGAUGGGAAACGGGUUAAUAUUCCCGUACUUGGUGUUACUGCGAAGGGGGGACGGAGAAGGCUAUGUUGGCCGGGCGACGGUUGUCCCGGUUUAAGCGUGUAGGUGUGUGUUCCAGGUAAAUCCGGUUCACUUUAACACUGAGGCGUGACGACGAGGCACUACGGUGCUGAAGCAACAAAUGCCCUGCUUCCAGGAAAAGCCUCUAAGCAUCAGGUAACACGAAAUCGUACCCCAAACCGACACAGGUGGUCAGGUAGAGAAUACCAAGGCGCUUGAGAGAACUCGGGUGAAGGAACUAGGCAAAAUGGUGCCGUAACUUCGGGAGAAGGCACGCUGACACGUAGGUGAAGUGAUUUACUCAUGGAGCUGAAGUCAGUCGAAGAUACCAGCUGGCUGCAACUGUUUAUUAAAAACACAGCACUGUGCAAACACGAAAGUGGACGUAUACGGUGUGACGCCUGCCCGGUGCCGGAAGGUUAAUUGAUGGGGUCAGCGCAAGCGAAGCUCCUGAUCGAAGCCCCGGUAAACGGCGGCCGUAACUAUAACGGUCCUAAGGUAGCGAAAUUCCUUGUCGGGUAAGUUCCGACCUGCACGAAUGGCGUAAUGAUGGCCAGGCUGUCUCCACCCGAGACUCAGUGAAAUUGAACUCGCUGUGAAGAUGCAGUGUACCCGCGGCAAGACGGAAAGACCCCGUGAACCUUUACUAUAGCUUGACACUGAACAUUGAGCCUUGAUGUGUAGGAUAGGUGGGAGGCUUUGAAGUGUGGACGCCAGUCUGCAUGGAGCCGACCUUGAAAUACCACCCUUUAAUGUUUGAUGUUCUAACGUGGACCCGUAAUCCGGGUUGCGGACAGUGUCUGGUGGGUAGUUUGACUGGGGCGGUCUCCUCCUAAAGAGUAACGGAGGAGCACGAAGGUUGGCUAAUCCUGGUCGGACAUCAGGAGGUUAGUGCAAUGGCAUAAGCCAGCUUGACUGCGAGCGUGACGGCGCGAGCAGGUGCGAAAGCAGGUCAUAGUGAUCCGGUGGUUCUGAAUGGAAGGGCCAUCGCUCAACGGAUAAAAGGUACUCCGGGGAUAACAGGCUGAUACCGCCCAAGAGUUCAUAUCGACGGCGGUGUUUGGCACCUCGAUGUCGGCUCAUCACAUCCUGGGGCUGAAGUAGGUCCCAAGGGUAUGGCUGUUCGCCAUUUAAAGUGGUACGCGAGCUGGGUUUAGAACGUCGUGAGACAGUUCGGUCCCUAUCUGCCGUGGGCGCUGGAGAACUGAGGGGGGCUGCUCCUAGUACGAGAGGACCGGAGUGGACGCAUCACUGGUGUUCGGGUUGUCAUGCCAAUGGCACUGCCCGGUAGCUAAAUGCGGAAGAGAUAAGUGCUGAAAGCAUCUAAGCACGAAACUUGCCCCGAGAUGAGUUCUCCCUGAGACUUAGAGUCUCCUGAAGGAACGUUGAAGACGACGACGUUGAUAGGCCGGGUGUGUAAGCGCAGCGAUGCGUUGAGCUAACCGGUACUAAUGAACCGUGAGGCUUAACCUU